Molecule: long non-coding RNA, 537 nt
Filed under: Vulpes vulpes (red fox)
Lineage: Eukaryota; Metazoa; Chordata; Mammalia; Carnivora; Canidae
Description: lncRNA (ENSVVUG00000008567.1)
Source: RNAcentral
UUUAGCAACUAGGAUUUAUAUGGCCUUCCUGACUAAAGUGUUAACUUGUGAUUGAAAAGUCAUGUUUUCUAAGAAUAUACGCAAUACUAUAAAACAUAUUUAAAUUAAUGGAUCUAGUUUCUUAUGUAUGCUCUAAAAAGCACGUGCAACAAUUUUCCCCAGUAAAUGAAAUAAAGCUUCUAUCUAUUUAUUUCAGCCUUAGGAAGAAAUGACUGGAUUGAGUUUAACCAAAUAGAGAUGGUGAAAUUAAAAUAGAGGCCAUGGUUAUCAAGUACAUCAACAAAAUAGGCAGUCACGCUUCAGAAGAGAAACAGAGAACCAUGAAGAGAACAGGAAGAAAAGGCCUCAAUUUCCAACAAGAUAACCUGUGGGAAUAAGGAUAUGUUGACCUGCAUUUUCUGACCACUUCCGGCCUGAGUUCCAGGGAAGAGAGUCCUGUUAGGAGGAUUUUCAAUUUCUCAAGGACAAAAGGUCUUUUAUUUCAUUUUCUACUUGGGUCUUUAACAGGCAUGUCCUUUUCAUGGGAUUGUACUAAAG